Long non-coding RNA from Canis lupus familiaris (dog), 1031 nucleotides. RefSeq lists it as uncharacterized. The record is from RefSeq and is a predicted model, not a curated record. NCBI's taxonomy places the organism in Eukaryota, Metazoa, Chordata, Mammalia, Carnivora, Canidae. The transcript is spliced from 3 exons.
UUUAUGUAUGUAUGUAUGUAUUUAUUUAUUUAUUUAUUUAUUAUUUAUCAGAGACGGAGAGACGGAGAAGCAGGUUCCAUCCAGAGCGCCUGACCUGGGACUCUGAGCCCGCGUCUCCAGAACCACGCCCUGGGCUGAAGGCGGAGCUCGACCCCCGAGCGGCCGGGCCGUUGCCCCUAGUUUCUCUUUUUUUUCCUUCUCUUUUUUUGGAAGACACAGACGGAGACGGAGAAGCAGGCUCCAUCCAGAGCGCCUGACCUGGGACUCUGAGCCCGCGUCUCCAGAACCACGCCCUGGGCUGAAGGCGGAGCUCGACCCCCGAGCGGCCGGGCCGUUGCCCCGAGUUUGUCUUUGUUUGUAUACACAGACGGAGACGGAGAAGCAGGCUCCAUCCAGAGCGCCUGACCUGGGACUCUGAGCCCGCGUCUCCAGGACCACGCCCUGGGCUGAAGGCGGAGCUCGACCCCCGAGCGGCCGGGCCGUUGCCGCAAGUUUACCUUUUUUUUCCUUCUCUUUUUUUGGAAGGUUUGUUUGUGUCCUUGCGUGGAGCCUGCUUCUUCUCCCUCUGCCUAGGUCUCUGCCCCUUCCUCUCUCCUCUCUCCUCUGUCUCUCUCUCUCUCUCUCUCUCUCUCCCUCCCUACGUUCGGACUUCUAGGUCACCCCAUCAGAAAGAUGCCUCGUGGGAUGGGACCCAAGAGGUGGUCCAGAGAAAUAAGGACCCGAUCUCCCCCCCCCCCCCCCCCCCGCCACUUCCCUUGAGUCCAAAUCAUGAAGAAGACGGGGAAAGCAGGCCAGGCAGGCGGACGCCGGAAAUCCCAAGUCCACACGCACGCACGAGCACCAGAACUGAUGCCCAACCCACUCCACCUCUUUCAGAGGGCUGAGAGGGAGGCAACCACGGACAAAGCCUGUUUUCCAGGAGGAAACCGAGAUGAAGGAACAGGCGGAGGUGGAGGCGGAAGGCUGGAAGGUUGACGGAUAAGAGAAAGGAAAAGAGGGACGGACGCCUGGGUGGCUCAGUGGUUGGGCGG